This 283-nucleotide ribosomal RNA is filed under the name uncultured bacterium. RNAcentral's name for it is "partial 16S ribosomal RNA". It matches the Rfam family "Bacterial small subunit ribosomal RNA", at positions 123 to 406 of the family's 1533-position model. The record is from RNAcentral.
AACUUACCCAUUACUAGGGGAUAGCCCGGAGAAAUUCGGAUUAAUACCUUAUAGUAUGUUAGACUGGCAUCAGUUUGAUAUUAAAGAUUUAUCGGUAAUGGAUAGCCAUGCGUAUGAUUAGCUAGUUGGCGGGGUAAUGGCCCACCAAGGCGAUGAUCAUUAGGGGGUCUGAGAGGAUGAUCCCCCACACUGGUACUGAGAUACGGACCAGACUCCUACGGGAGGCAGCAGUAGGGAAUAUUGGACAAUGGGCGAGAGCCUGAUCCAGCCAUGCCGCGUGCAG